This 715-nucleotide small RNA is filed under the name Oryza sativa Japonica Group (Japanese rice). Its description in RNAcentral is "sRNA Os06g0134433". Lineage: Eukaryota; Viridiplantae; Streptophyta; Magnoliopsida; Poales; Poaceae. The record is from RNAcentral.
GUGAUUGAUCAUCACCUCAUUAUAGAAAGUGUCUGGGGAACCAUCAAUCCUCAGAAACAUAAAUGAUAAAUAAUAGGAUUGAAUCCAAAUGCAAGCCCUUUCAUCAACCUUGUUCAUCGACAGAGAAAGAUAGGGAGGAGGGAGGAGGGUUGAGGUGGUGUUCGUACUGUGUCGGCAGCGGGGCUGGAUCACAGGGCUUCGACCGGAGGUGAUAGUGGUGGUCGAGUGCGGCGUAGAGUUCAUCGGAGGUUGGGAACGGCCCGACAUCAACAUCGCGCCCCCCGGAGGCGAAAUACCCACGAGAAUCGCUGUACACUCGUACCUCCUCAUCCUCACACGGGUCCCGCUCCCGCCCUGCUGUCCUGGACGCCAUGGAUGGGGAUGGCGCCGGCCGCCGGCCGGCGGCGGGGGCGUUGCCGGCGGACGGUGGCGUGGCGGGGACUAGGGCUUGGUGGAAUCGAAAUGGCGCAAGGCGAAGUGGCCAACACAAGUGACUAUUGGGCCGGAAUUGGGCUCGGCCCAUACUAAAAUUUGCAUGACUGGAUCGAGUCCUCUUGCAUAUGAUGAGGACGAUCUGGUGUCUUGCUGUUCCAUGAGAAAUAUGCCUAUCGAUCGAUUUCUAUUUGGUUUCUUAAUUAUGUCGCUCGAUGGAGCCGCUUGAUUGCUACAGUGUAUUUGCUAAAUUAACCUAACUAGCAGGAGCAUGGAGGAGACG